UAGGGUACCACAUAUCUGCGGGUCCACC
RNAcentral lists this non-coding RNA (28 nucleotides) under Rattus norvegicus (Norway rat). The record is from RNAcentral. Lineage: Eukaryota; Metazoa; Chordata; Mammalia; Rodentia; Muridae.